UUUGGGAGAGUUUGAUCCUGGCUCAGAGUGAUACGCUGGCGGUAGGCCUAACACAUGCAAGUCGAACGGCAGCACAGUAAGAGCUUGCUCUUAUGGGUGGCGAGUGGCGGACGGGUGAGGAAUACAUCGGAAUCUACUCUGUCGUGGGGGAUAACGUAGGGAAACUUACGCUAAUACCGCAUACGACCUACGGGUGAAAGCAGGGGAUCUUCGGACCUUGCGCGAUUGAAUGAGCCGAUGUCGGAUUAGCUAGUUGGCGGGGUAAAGGCCCACCAAGGCGACGAUCCGUAGCUGGUCUGAGAGGAUGAUCAGCCACACUGGAACUGAGACACGGUCCAGACUCCUACGGGAGGCAGCAGUGGGGAAUAUUGGACAAUGGGCGCAAGCCUGAUCCAGCCAUACCGCGUGGGUGAAGAAGGCCUUCGGGUUGUAAAGCCCUUUUGUUGGGAAAGAAAUCCAGCCGGCUAAUACCUGGUUGGGAUGACGGUACCCAAAGAAUAAGCACCGGCUAACUUCGUGCCAGAGCGCGGGUAAA
RNAcentral lists this ribosomal RNA (535 nucleotides) under Stenotrophomonas sp. DFK5. Its description in RNAcentral is "bacterial SSU rRNA". It matches the Rfam family "Bacterial small subunit ribosomal RNA", at positions 1 to 524 of the family's 1533-position model. RNAcentral also lists the same sequence under 1 other name. The record is from RNAcentral. Lineage: Bacteria; Pseudomonadati; Pseudomonadota; Gammaproteobacteria; Lysobacterales; Lysobacteraceae.